AAGGCUGUGAAGAGACUUGCAAUCCAAGAUUUAAAGUUGCUGGCCAACAAGACACCACAUACGUGGAGCAGAGAAAACAUUCAGGCACUCUGAAUCUGCUCUUCACACUCCUUAUGACAGCUUGAAGCUGGGCAUGCUGUCUAUUCUUUCCGUGUUAUCGGGGACCAUUGCCAUAAACAGUACUUCAGCACUGCUCCAGGUCUUUGCCGUUUCCAGUCCCAGGAGCUCUGCAGGAAGGGCCAACUCAUGCGAAUUGCAGAGCAACCAUCUUUCCCUCCUGCAUCCAGCCGGAGAGCAUAGCCUGUCAGCACUGACCGUGCUUUGCAAGGCUGGGAAAAACACCCCGAUGUGGAAGAGAGCAUCCACUCCGCUGAUGUCCGCAGGAGCAGCGUCUUCCCUUCUUGCUGCCAGCCCCGCUUCCCUCCCCGCGAUUUCCAGGUCAAAGACACAGCGAAGAGCCCGAGUCGGAGACAGCCAAAAAGUUCGGUAGAGGAAGCUCUGGCUCAGCGUCUUCACUGUUCGCACUGUUUGCGCUGCCUCGCCUCCGCUUUAACCCGCUCAGGCACUGCCGGCCGGGACAGCCCGCAGCCUCCACCGCAGAGGCGGGCAGGAGCAGCACGGCUGGGCCGGCAGCACUGUCCUGGCACUUACACGGAGGGAAGGGAGGAGAAGAAAAGUGAGAGGAAAAGGAGCAGAGGGAAAAUGCGAGUACGAAGAAGCCGCAGACAGCAAGGGAGAGGCAGGCGCGGGCUGCACUGGCACCCAGCGACGGCGGCCGGGACCGCUCCGGGAAGCGGCGGCGCUGGCUCCGGACCGGGCACCGCGACGGGAAGGGGAGUGGAGGAAUCUCUCCUGAGGACUGGGCUUCCCAAAGCCCCUGCUCCUAAACUGGAGGAGCUGGGAGUUUCUAAUAACCUACAUUUUGGGGCGGGGAGAAAGGAAAGGGAAAAAGAAAAAGGGAAAAAGGAAAAAAAUCCAAACCUCGACCUUUUCCCAUGUAGUCCUCAAGGGUGCUUGUCCAAGCCACGAAAAUGGGAAGUGCCUGGGGGAAGGUCGCAUGCAUUUCACUCUUUGUAUGGCACCAGACUGUGUUACUUUCCAGUGCAGCUGAAGGAGAAAUGAAGCCUUACUGGUGAGAACUGAAC
Molecule: long non-coding RNA, 1145 nt
Organism: Melopsittacus undulatus (budgerigar)
Lineage: Eukaryota; Metazoa; Chordata; Aves; Psittaciformes; Psittaculidae
Exons: 3
Source: RefSeq, a predicted model, not a curated record